GUUGUAUACCAUGCCAUCCUGAACACAACUAAUUUCUUCUGACUUGGGAAGCCAAACAAGAUUGGGCCCACUUAGUUCUUGGAUGGGAGAUGGUAAGGAGGUCUGGCAGAGAGCAGCA
This 118-nucleotide ribosomal RNA is filed under the name Pogona vitticeps (central bearded dragon). Lineage: Eukaryota; Metazoa; Chordata; Lepidosauria; Squamata; Agamidae. The record is from RNAcentral.